This 392-nucleotide long non-coding RNA is filed under the name Capsella grandiflora. Its description in RNAcentral is "long non-coding RNA (CGRA_LNC001313)". The record is from RNAcentral. Lineage: Eukaryota; Viridiplantae; Streptophyta; Magnoliopsida; Brassicales; Brassicaceae.
AACCAAACUAACGUUGUCUUUAACAAAGAAAAGCAUCCAACCUAUAGAAGGAUUCAACAUCAUUCAUCCAAGAAAAAUCUAAAACCCUAAAACGUAACUCACUAAUCGCACUGAGAAGGCCAAACCACGAGUAAAACACGUAAAGCUGAAAUGAGAAACAAAAUAAGAAAAACAGAGAGAAAGUUACCGGAGGAGACUCGGAGAGCGACAACAACGGCGGAAUCGGAAACAAUGGUGGUGACAGUCGCAAUCUCCUUCGCCCGAAGAAAAUCAGAGAAAGAUCCCAAAUGUCAAAUGACUCGUGAAACCUUAUUUCCCCGUCAGUUUCAGAUUAUUAUCGAAACGAUGUCGCGAUGAGAGUUCAAUUCUUCACUCCUUAAAAACGACGUCGU